RNAcentral lists this long non-coding RNA (1045 nucleotides) under Gossypium barbadense (sea-island cotton). RNAcentral's name for it is "long non-coding RNA (GBAR_LNC012664)". The record is from RNAcentral. Lineage: Eukaryota; Viridiplantae; Streptophyta; Magnoliopsida; Malvales; Malvaceae.
AAAAAAAAAUAAAGAGUUCUCAUUGCUCUCCCUUCACUCCCAUGUCUGGCGAUAGGGUUUCCCGGUGUCCAUUGCGCCGCCGUUGUGGGCUAGUGGCCGGCGUUGCGCGAAUGGGAUUUUUCCGGCUCCGAGGAGGCCAACGGAGAAGAGUAACCUCCCUUUUCUACUCUUUCGUUUUAUUUUUUUAUUCCAAAAAAAUAUAAAAGAAAACAAAAGCUACAGAUAUUUAAGAGCAAAAAUGAAAUAAAAGAGGAAUCACCUUCUAAAGUUUUGGUUUUUGAUUGAUUUUUUGUAUUAGAUUCUCUUUGUUUUUUUGUGUUUCAAAACUGACUUAAGAAAAAAGAAUAAAAAAUAAAGGAUAAAAAAAAUAAGAAACGGAGAUAAAAAGACGAGAGAAUGAAGUUCAACCUUUUUAUUUUUUGAUUGCUUAAAUCGUGUCCUUUACAAUAUUUCGUGUUUGUGGCUAUAUAGCCGAAUACAAAAAUGCUUUAGGCUAUUCCUUGCUACUGUUUUGCUUCGUUUCUGCUUUUUGCUUUCUUUUUGUUUCUGUUUUUGUAGGCUUAGAGGGUCAAUGAGGGCGAAAACAUGCCAUUUUGGUGCGAGGAAACAGCCAUCGGGCGGAGGGUACGCUGACGGAGGCACGUGGGGUGCGGCGCAACCAAGGCUGCGGCGCUGGAGUGGAUGGGAACCUUAGGGUUUCCUGAAAAUUUCAAAUAUUUUGGGCCAAUCGGGCCUUGUGAUGUUGGGCUCAGGAUUUUGGGUUGUGUUUUGGGUCUUAAUUGGGCUGAUGGUUUAGGUUAGGUGUUGGGUCUUGUAAUUGAACUGUAAAUAUUUUGGGCCUGAGCAAAAUUUGGGUCCUACAGAUAAAAUUAUUAGAAAUUUUAUUUUGAGUCAUUAUGAUGCUAAACGAUGCAUUAAUUUAAUCCAGUGGGAUGCUAAGUCUUAGGAUUGGUUUGCACACAAUAUAUUUUAUUAACAAGUAUUUUCUUAUUAAAUUCGGAUUCCAAUUGAUCUAAAAUUAAUAUAAUGCUUUUCGAGUUUUAAA